This 10429-nucleotide long non-coding RNA is filed under the name Homo sapiens (human). RNAcentral describes it as "HSALNT0011169". Lineage: Eukaryota; Metazoa; Chordata; Mammalia; Primates; Hominidae. The record is from RNAcentral.
GGAAUGGGGAGGGCAUGGCCAGUGUCCAGUGAGAACAGAGAAUGCUCUAGGGUUCUGGGGCCGGACUUGGAGCUGUGCAGAGACCUGGGAUCUACCAGAGAUGCAGCCCCCAAGUACAUGGGGUAGUGAGGAAGCCCUCUGGUCUCUCUUCUCCCAUUCUUUUACUCUUUUCUUGUUCCUUCCACUGGCCCAAAAAACUGAACGCCAACAGGCAAGGGAUCCCAGGUGAAGCCUCACAGGAGGCUGACCUCCCAGGACUUACAUCAAGGCAGAUGGUGAGUGCCCCCCAAUGGUGAGUGCAUGUGCCAGCCAUGAUAGAUGGGAGUGGGAUGAUCCUCAGGCCCCUGGCAGAGAGUUCAGUUUCUGAGGUCAUCAGAGAAGAUUUGCCAGAGGCUUUCGCUUACCCAAGGGAAGUAAUGUUAAAGGGUCAUGUGUUUUUCUGAAGCAAAGUAUCGCUUUUACAGAGAAAUGGCUGCUACCUAGGGCCAGUGCCUUCACAGUGAGUGCCAAUGUGUUUCACAGUCCAUGCUCACCUCUGGUAAUUUCCAAAAUCUGUCAUCAAAAUGAUCCAGAUCAUGAACUCAGAGAGAAACAACCCAUACUGGCUUGUCUGACCUCCCUGAUAGUCUAUCAACGAGAUUGAUUCUAUCUCAGUCUUACGGAUGCAAUUCUUCAUAUCCAAAAGAUACUGCCAUUUGUAGCACUUGUUCUAAGGCAGCAAAAGCAGCAGGAAGGACCAAUUCUACCUACAGCACAGGAUUCCAGAGAUGUCUUGAUUUUUAUUAAUGUUGGUUUCAAUGGAUGUUCCCCAGGUUUGGUUAUGCUAAGUAGAAGAUACAGAUUUGUAAUGCCUAAAUUCUCACACUUCUAAUCCUACAGUCCAAUUAUUCUGUUAACCAGGCAUUUGCUACAAUGUGCUCUGAAGAAAUGGAUUGGAAAUAAACAAAUAAAUAAAUAAAUAAAUAAUUCCACAGGAGGAAAAAAAUGCGUUCUGAAAGGAUCAGGAUUUUCAAAGCCCCCAAGCUUCAACAUAUCCGAGGAUCGAAGGCCUGAAUAAAGUGGCAUCACAGAAGUGUGAGAACAGCCUUUCCCCAUUCUCCGGAGUGGAUCCAUGAGCCAGGAGUCAGGCCUGCACUUUGAGGAGCGGAAGUGCUUUUGUGAGGACAAGCAAGAAUGUCUUGUAAUUUCAACUACCCUUAAAGCUGUUUCAGGGUUCCCUGAUAAUGAACUAACUGAUACUGGGACUUCCCUUCUCCAUCCCCCAAAGAAAAGCUGCGUUCCAACUCAACACCUCAUAGAACCAGAGCCCCCUAAUAUCCCUAGGUGUGGGCAGCUGGCAUUCCCCAACAUUCCCCUAACACCCAGCACCUAAGCUAAGAAUGCUUGGGGCCUGAACCCCAAAUGUUUAUUCAGCCAUGUAAAGCCACUUGCACACUUGUCCUAUAAAAAAGGAAAGCAACAGAAUGUUUUUCUCCUCUUGGAGCAGAGCCCCACAGUGAAUCUAGCAAUGCACUGGCUCAAACAUGCCCCCUUUUCAGCAGCAUGCUGAAAGAAAUAGGAUCCAUGCGUCAGCUGGAAUUUCUAUCUCUGAGUUUCUACCUAAACUAAGUGAUACUUUCUGUUAUUCCCAGUCACAUCAAAACAAAUGUGAGAUUCAAAUUUUAAACUGGGCUAUACUGUAACAAAUUAGACUUGACUCUUUUUGUUUUGUUUUGUUUAAAUAACAGAAAGUGACUAGAAAACUAUAGGAUCCACCUAAGAUGCUAAGACAUGGCAAAGUGAGACCAAACAUAGCACAACAAAUAGUUGGAGACAAAAUAAAAGCAUUUUACAUUUGUGCACUACAAUGUUCAGGCUAUUCAACACACUGAUUUCACACAUACAGUCCCAUUUAUUGCCAACAAUAACCCUGCAAAGUAGGUACUAUUAUUGGGCACAUUUUACAUAUAAAACGACUUAAAAUUAGAGGAGGUAGUAUAUAUUUUCCUAAUUUUUGGCAGCCCAGCAUCUAAAGCCCUUUUCUAUGCUUGAAGAAUGCCCUGCCUUAUGAGUGAGUCUUGCUGGAAAGAAGAGACCAGCUUCCAAUAUAAAAACUGAAAAUACCAAAUACUUUUCCCAUAUUCCCUGAUAACUAUCACACUGACAUUAGAAGAGUCUCCACCAACAGAUGUGAGCAUGCCAGUUUUCCCCAGAAUCUAAAGAUACAAAGAAAGAGGAUUUUUGUGGGAAACCACUCUGGUGAAAAUGCCAGUGGAAGUCCUACACUGAACCCGAUUUCCAGUGGCAAGAAUUUUAGUGGCUCCAGCAGCGAUGCCCAGUGCUCCGUGACUAUGGGUUCACAAUGUACACAAACUGGUUGGGCCACUGCAGAUGAAAGAGAUGGCUUCAAGUGCUCAGUUAUGUGUCUUGAUUGGUAAUGUGGCCAUUGGCUGGGUAAUGUCCACACUGCUUCUCUGGCCCUUUUGAAGUGUCUGUUAGCCAUAAUAACUAGAUUUAUUUUCUGAUUAAAUUAGCUAGAAUUAGGUUCUGACUGACUUAGGAUAAGUAAUUGCUCUCUGAUCACACAUAGAGCAAAUGAUGGAGCUGGAAUUCCAGUCUUCACUAGGUUAUACUGAAUGAUGAGAUAAUGUUAUGGGCUGAAUUCAUGUGUUGAAGUCCUCAUCUCCAGAACCUCAGAAUGUCUGUAUUUGGAGAAGAGUUUUUAAUGUUGUAAUUCAGUGAAAGUGAGGUCAGUAGGGUGGCUAUAAUUCAAUAUGACCUGAAUCCUUACGAGAAUGAAAAUCUGGACACAGAAAUCCGUGUGGGAGGCCAUGUGAAGACACGGAGAAAGCAUCCAUCUGUGAGCCAAAGAGAGAGGCCUCAGAAGAAACCACCCCUGCAGACACCUUGUAAUUGGACGUCUAGCCUUCAGAACUGUGAAACAGGAAAUUUCUGUUAUUUAAGCCACCCAGUCUAUGGUACUUUGUUAUGGCAGUCCUAAUAAACUAAUACCAGGAAUGAGGAAUACGAAAGAAUUCAAGAUGAUCUCAAAGUUGCUCAAUGAGGUGACUUUAGAAAAGAUGAAGGGUAUGAGAGGAGUAGCCAUUGCAGAAGGAGAACAAGAUCAUGAAUUCAAUUCAGAAAACUUUGAUUUUGAGACCUCUGCAGGAGAAAAUAAGAGAAAGCUUCAAAGGCCUAGCUUCCUUUAUAGAGUCCUGGGAGAGACCUAAAGUUGAGGAAUAGAGAGAAAAGGCACCUCUGGAUACUCACUGGCAUUGGAUCCAGCUCUGAGUUGCUUGCUUUCUGGGCUUCAGAAUGACAAAGCAGGUUUAUGCACAGAGUUUUUCAAUAAGCAAGUCCCCACUGAAGGUCACAGGCCUAUUUCAGCAGUGGGAGAAACCACAGUCAGCAGUAUUGGGCCAUGCAAGUGAAGGGUUGUUCACUGGAGAGGUUUGUUACCUUAUUGGGAAGAUGAAGUUUUCAUCCAGCAUUAAGCCUAUGGCUAUAAUUCAGGGAUGAGACAAGGGUGUUUGCAUUUGUUAGCAUGAAGACAAACAAAUCCAACACCCUUAGGUCAGAAUUUCAGCUUAACAUGGUAUCUUGUGCUUGAAUAUCCCUUGCAACCUCUCCUGACUUUCCACUUUCCAAAGUGAGUCUUUUAAAAUGCUCACGUUUUGGCUCACACCUGUAAUCCCAGCACUUUGGGAGGCCGAGGCGGGCGGAUCACGAGAUCAGGAGAUCAAGACCACGGUGAAACCCCGUCUCUACUAAAAUACAAAAAAUUAACCGGGCGUGGUGGUGGGCUCCUGUAGUCCCAGCUACUCGGGAGGCUGAGGCAGGAGAAUGACGUGAACCCCGAAGGCGGAGCUUGCAGUGAGCCGAGAUUUCGCCACUGCACUCCAGCCUGGGCGACACUGCGAGACUCCGUCUCAAAAAAAAAAAAAAAAAAAAAAAAAAAAAGGCCACGUUUAUUGGUCUUAUGCCUAUAAAAAAAGUCUAUGUGGACAACCACUCAUUGAUUCAAUAAAUAAUGCUUAAGUGCUUACUCUGUGCCAGGAUUCUGAAAGGCACUGUGGGUAAAUGGUAGGCAAAUCUAAACCUGGUCCUGCCUUCAGAGAGUCUACUGUUUGAACGGAAAAAGAAGAGAAUGAGGCCAAACAAGAGGUUGUUCACCUGAGGAAAUGGAUGGGAGCUGGGCAAGCCUACCUGGCAGAGGCUCACCUGGCUGAGUACCUAUGAAAUUGCCAUGGAUGAUCUCAAAAUUCAAAGAAAAGUCCAGUGCAUAUAAAUAAAAACCUUGAAAACACAAAUUCAUAGGCAAAAGGCUGAGAGGCCACAUAAAUUACUUUUAGUGAAAACAACAAAUAAUAUUAGUAUUAUUUCUGUUUCAGUAUUCAAGGCAGUGGUGAUGGGAACUUGAGGGCAUGAGAAUCAGGGCAAAGAGAAUUACUGAAAGAGUAAAACUAUCUUAAAGAUGUGAGGUUGGCCACUGAUGGAGAGGACAAGCAGGACAGGGAUCGGGGGACCAAAGUCCAGCUGCACUGACUCCAUUCAGCUCUGCUCUGUUCACCCUCAUCCCAAACCUGUCCCCAUCCCCAGACAAAUAGAAGCUGUGGACAAAGAUUGUUUUUGCCCUCCACAUCUCCAAUACUCUGUUUUCAAAUGACUGCAACCAACCCAACAAAAGAACUCACUUAACAUAUUAGUAGUAUCUUAAAUGAUGCAAUUUUAUCUUGUCCAUGAAAUAGCUUCAAUUAAAACAAAUUAUCUCUUUCCAUUCAUAGCUUAAUUCAUAUAGCACAUCUGAUAGAGCCUUUUUAAAUGCUCACUUUUAUUGGUCUUAUUUCAAAAUUAAUUCAUGUUUAUAGUCUAGCAUUUAGAAAAUUCCAAGGCAAAGCAGGCUACAUUUGUGUGUUUCCUCUUGGUGUCUCCAGUGCCCCAUGCCGCCACUGCACAGAGGACAUUAAGCAUUGAACACAGAGAACUAAACCACUUAAGGAACCACCCAUAAUCUCAAUACCAAUAGAUACUUACCCUCACUUUUUUGAUAUGUUUUUUCCAGUCACUUGUGUAUGUAAGCAUACAUACAAAAACAGGUGUGUGUGUGUGUGUAAAAAUGUGUGUUUACAGAGUUCGUUUUACAGGAAAGCACAAAGUCAGAUAGUUGUUAUCGGGCACCUAUGGGAAAUGUCAUAGGAGACUAAAGAUGAGACGAAAACUUUGGGACCACCACUCUUAAUCAUCCUAAUACUUGAUCUUUCCAUGGCUACCCUGAGAUAGAAUAAAUGGCUUUUGUAAAACAACUUAAACCUCAUCUCCUUAAUUGAGGUAUCCUGCUUUCUUACUCUUAUUUACGUGUCUAAGUCAGGGAGAAACAUCCCAUUAUGUCACAAAUAAGAUUAAAGGUAGUUGUAAUUAAAUUUCACCAUGUGCCCUGAGUUUUCCCACCUGAGAAUUAUAAGAAAAAAAUCAAAAGGUCUUCUCCUCUUACUAGACUACCCACCAAAUGGUCAUUACAUUUUCCUGUAGGCUGCAGAUAAAAUCUCUCUAUCAUAAGUCUCCCAAUCACCAAGUGAGAAAACACCACUCUGGGGUCCAGGGAUGUGUAGGCAAUUGAAGAGUUUCUCUUUUAAGAAUGGCAGCUCAUUAGGGUAAGUGUCCAAGAACAUAAUGAAAAAAUUGUGGUAUAUUUAUACUGGGGGAUAUGCCAGAUUAAAAAACGAACACAUUUGAGUUACAGAUAGCAACAUGGAUAAAUCUCUAAUGCAGAAUUUUAAUAAGAAAAAGGCAUAUUGCAGAAUUAUAGGUGCAGUAUAAUACCAUGUAUAUAAAGUUUAAACACAAAAACAUGCUAUAUAUCUUUUAUGGAUAUAUCCUUGUGCAGUAAAAAAUAUAAAAUAUGCAUAAGAAUGACAAAGACAAAUUUUAGAGGAUUUAUUCCCUUAGGGAGAAAAGGAAACGGCAUCACAAGGAUUACAAGAUUUGAAUUGAAUCUACAAUAUUUUAUUCCUUAAGCUGAGUAGCGGGUACAUGGGUGUUCAUAUACUCAAAACCAUUUUUGGCACAUGAAAUAUUUUAAAAUUUUUUAAAAAGCUAGAUAGUAUGAUUGACAUCUUCAGAUACUUGAAGAUCUGGCAUGUUGAUGAUGGAAAGUAUCCUAUGACUAAGUAGGUAAAGCUAUUAUGAAGGCAAAUUUUAGGUCAUUCUUAGGAAAAACCUAAAAGGGCUGUCUAAAAAUGAACAGUGUCUUCUACAUGAUUAAGGAGUAAAACAGAGUUAAGGUCUUCGGAGGUAGCAAGUCACAGUGCAAGUAGAGUUCACUUGUCUUUGUCUUGAAAGCAAAGAUUUCUUUUCUCUUGCAAAAUUCCCGGGACAUAUCCUGAUAAAGCUUUACAUCUCAGCAGCAUCACUCUGAUUGCUCUUUUUUCAGUUGGUGUCAUUGGAAGCCCCUAAACCCUAUUUAACUUCAGUGCCAUUGACUGGCACUUCCUGCCACUUACAUCUUUGCCAUUUGGCAGUGCCUGGGUUGGACAGAUCUGCCACCUGGUUCUGGUUCUGCAUUAUUGUCAUUCCUUGUGCCAGUCAUAAGGAUUCACUGGCACCCCUCUGAGAUUAGGAGUUCUCCAGGUCUGGAGAUAUUAAAAAAGAGAGAGAUGGUCAGCGAUGCUAUAGAAGGGAUUUUAGUAGUCUCUGGUAUGCUGGAGCACAUAACCUUUGAGUAUGGAUUUCCAUAUUCAUUUAUUCAAGAAAUGUUUAGUGAGUGUUUACUUUGUGCAAAGCACCUUGCUCGUUAAGCUUCUAUGGCUCUAGAAUUUGUCUUUGAAAAUGCGUCUCUAACUUUACAGAAAUGAAAAUUGAGACAUGAUGGGAAAACUUAUUUUAAGCAAACAAUAAGGCAGGCAGGCAGGCUGUGGUUUGCAGACCGACCACUUCUAGCCUUAUUGCCAAGAGCACUACGAGAGUCACAGGAACAUUUUGGAGAUAAUGUUACAUUCACAGACUUGUACAUGUCUUACAGUGAAAGACACCCCAGAGGUUAUCCAAUUCAAAUACUUCAUUUUACAGACGAGGAAACAAAAGCCUGGGGAGGUAUGUGGCUAACUGAUUGCAGAAUCUAUUCUCAGAUAUGGUAUUUCCUUCCCAACCUUGAAAGUUGUGUUCCUGAAAACCUCCAUGGAAGGAGAAAUUACACUUGAGGAACUUACGACCUUAGGAAGAAAAUAGAGUUUGGGGAGUAAGAUAGUGAGUGAAUCUGAGAAAGUUAUCAUCAUUGUUUUAUAUCUACUAAUAAAACAAUGUAGGUACCAUUGAUACCCACUUUAUUUUAUGCCGAACGCAUUUGUAAUGGUGAAUCUUGUACAGGUGAUUUUAUUUACUUCUUAGAAUUCCUUAUUAACACUUCUCUAGGCUCUCUAUACACAAUUUUUGUAAAACUUCUUGUGAGUCAUUGCCUUUUUGUGUAAAUACUGGUUACAAUGGAUUGUUUUCUGUUUCAGGUCCUGUUGUCUCUGCCUUUUUGCAUCUUUGACAUUAUCAUUGUAACUUAUAACUUCUAACCUCUACUCUGACUCAACUUGGUUGUUUCCUGAUUCCUCUCUCUCCUUCUUGCUGUUCCUUCUCUCUGCUGUCCUUUAACUGUAGCUGCUCACCAGGACUAUGCUGUAAACUUUCACCUCCUCUCACUGUUUACUCUACCUAUGUAACUAUCAUGUUUGAUAAUGAGGUCCUGCUGAAUAAGCCUGUUUGCUGUCUUUCCAGGCUGUGCUUUCCCACUCCUGCAGCUACUGCCUUAAUUCAGGUUAUCACUGUCUCUCACUAGGACCCCUGCACUAAUCUCCUUGAUUGGUCAAAGGUUUCAUUAUUUGCAUUGUGCUCUGAGUGAAAUUUUCUUAUGACGGCUUACAGUUCCCAGUGGCUGCAUGUGCCUAUAGAACACUAACUUCCUAAGCAUUUCAUCCAAGGCCCUCCACCUUAGCUCUUGUACCCUUUACUCCAGCCAUAUUUAUUGACCCUACUUGAUGGCCUAAUGUACCAGACUAUUUGGCAUCUUCAUGCCUUUGUGAACUGACUUUUCUUCAUCAGGAAUGCCCUUCACUCUGCCCCUCUCACGCUACCCAUUUCCCCUCCCACGUGCAAUCACCUGCCUGGUGAACAUCUACUCUUCCUCGAAAACUUUGCUCAUACCAUCACCUCUCCCUUGGAGGUACCACUUCCUACUCCUACUUUCUGCUCAUCUCGUACCUCAUUAAAGAGAAUAGGAGGUUCCCACCACAAAAUCUGAAAGCCUCCUGCCACAAAACCUGUCUUCUUCCCUCUGUGCAACUGAAUGUGACUCCUUGUAAUCAAAUGCUCAUCCCUCAAUUCAUGUUGGGAAUCCCAUCUCUCUCACUUUCUCAAGAAGUUCAAUGCUUCUGUCAGACUGUCUCCAGUCAAUUAUUCCCAUCAGCAUAUAAACAUAAUCCAGUAUUACUGUCCUAACCAAUACUCCAUAUUGAUCCACAUCCCUUUCCAGCUACCAUUCUUUUCUGUCUUUCACAAUAAAAUUCCAUAAAAUAGUUGUGUACACACAGCACUUUUAUGUUUUCACUUCACAGUCACUUUGGAAUUCACUUCAAAUUGGCAUUCACCCACAUGACCCAGUUGGUCACUAAUGACCUUUAUAGUGCUAUGUCCACAUUUUCAUCUCACUAGAACUUUCAGCAACAUCCAACAAUUGACCAUUCUCUUCUCAAAAUUGGCCAUUCUCUUCUUGAAAUUGUUCUUGGCUUACAUGAUUCCAUAUUUCCCUGGUCUUUUAUCUGCUUCUCUACCUGCUCCUCCUAAGCCUCUGUUGUGUCUUUUCUUCCACUUUCUAUAAUACCUCUAAGUAUUGAAUUUCCUCAGUAUUCUGCUCUGAACCCCAUGCCUUAUGUUUCCAUAAAUAAUCUCAUUCAUCCUCAUGGCUUAAAAUACCAAUUCCAAGCCAAUGACUCCUAUGUCUGUAUCUCUAGUCCUAACCUCUCCUCUGACCUCCUGACUUAUACUCUUGUCUUUAUAACACCCACUUAUGAAUGCUUCAUGGACAUCUCACAUAAAUAUAUCCAAGACUGCAUUUUUAUUUCCCUCUGAAAACCUAGUCCUCCUUCCAUCCUCCCCACCUCCCUUUUUUGGCAACAUUAUCCACGCUGUUGAUCAGGUCUGGAUCCUGGGAGUCACUAAUUAUUUCUCCCUGUAUUUCUUCCUCUAGUCCAAUUCGUCACUAAGUCUGAUCAUCUGUCUCCUAAAUGCAGCAUAAGGAGAUCCACUUUUCUUUAUCGUUACUGCCACAUUGUAGUUUGAUCUACUAUUAUUUUAAACUUAACAACCACAAUACCUUCAAACUGAUCUCCAUGCACACAGAACACAGUGACUCUCAUCCUUAAUUGAAUCUCUACACAGCCACAGAAACAGUCUUUCUUGAAACAUAAAUCCCAGCAUGACACUGCCUGACAUGCAAUCUCUCUUUGCACUUUGUCUUAGUCCAGGUACAUCAGUGUUGCUAUAAGUCCUGUUGGUCAGCCUCCUGCCCCGUACCCUAAGCUCAUCUUACAUCAGCGAGUCCUCACUCUCCACUCUCUAGACUGACUCCUGAUGUUUUCUCAAGCAAGUUGAUUUCUUUCUCAUCUUAAUCCUUCACAGGUGGUACAUAGUGCUUCCCGAGUUUAGAUCUCCACUCUCCCUUAUGUUCUCAUAAAGGAUUCAUAUGUCCUUUAGGUCUUGGCUUAAAUGCCAUCUAUUCAGAGAAGCCUUCCCUGGCGACCUUAUCUGAGUCAAUCUUCCAUUGUUAUAUUGUUAUAUUGAUUUGCUUUGUUUCUUGCUACUUCUUCUACUUGACUCGGUAGAAGGCUCUGCAUAAUUGACCAAAAUAUAUACAGUGUUUUUCAGAGUGCUAGUCACCUAUUAGUACUGAAGAAUUAUUUGUUGAAUAACUUAAUGAUUUUUUUGCAGUUACACGAGUGUUGUUUUGAUUGACUGAAAAUAGAUUGCCUAAGAUGACAUGAAAGAUCAAAGGUGAAGAGUGGAAGAUAGCACCACUUUGGGUUAAAAGUUUACUUAAGUCAGCAACUCCUCAAGAAACAGCUACCAGCAUUCCUGGGACUAUUAUGCCCUGGUCUACUUGUAGCCUGUUUGUAUUCCAGCCUACUUUGGCACCUUGCCGUCUCUGCUUACCGACUUUCUGCAUAAGAGUGAAAUAGAAAGUGACUUGGAACCAUGUAUACCUAAAGUGUGACAUUUAAAAAAACGUCCUCAGAAAAACUAAUAUCCUGGUUAUUUUUGAAUGUGCUAAGAGACUCUUUUUUUUAAUCUUGUUUUUUUAUUUUGAAUAUAGAGCACAUUGAGGUUUAAAAUGGAAAAUUCUAUUAAAAAUAAAAGGCAUACGUUUACAUAUCUUACAAUUACCUCUGCUUCUGUCCCUCCCAUUCCUUAUGAG